This 545-nucleotide ribosomal RNA is filed under the name uncultured Streptococcus sp. RNAcentral's name for it is "bacterial SSU rRNA". It matches the Rfam family "Bacterial small subunit ribosomal RNA", at positions 40 to 569 of the family's 1533-position model. Lineage: Bacteria; Bacillati; Bacillota; Bacilli; Lactobacillales; Streptococcaceae. The record is from RNAcentral.
CGGUCUCCCCACGACUCGGCCGCGUCGACGAGAGGAGCUUGCUCUUCUUGGAUGAGUUGCGAACGGGGUGAGUAAACGCGUAGGGUAACCUGCCUUGUAGCGGGGGAUAACUAUUGGAAACGAUAGCUAAUACCGCAUACAAUGGAUGACACAUGUCAGUUUAUUUGAAAGGGGCAAUUGCUCCACUACAAGAUGGACCUGCGUUGUAUUAGCUAGUAGGUGAGGUAAUGGCUCACCUAGGCGACGAUACAUAGCCGACCUGAGAGGGUGAUCGGCCACACUGGGACUGAGACACGGCCCAGACUCCUACGGGAGGCAGCAGUAGGGAAUCUUCGGCAAUGGGGGCAACCCUGACCGAGCAACGCCGCGUGAGUGAAGAAGGUUUUCGGAUCGUAAAGCUCUGUUGUAAGUCAAGAACGGGUGUGAGAGUGGAAAGUUCACACUGUGACGGUAGCUUACCAGAAAGGGACGGCUAACUACGUGCCAGCAGCCGCGGUAAUACGUAGGUCCCGAGCGUUGUCCGGAUUUAUUGGGCGUAAAGCGAG